CAGUAAUUCUAUAAGGUCUAAGUCUCCAGAUGAAAACCAACUUCCAGCCGUCAACUCUAAAAAAUGAAAUCAAGGGACGAGACGAUCUCCAAAAUAAAUCGCAUACUCUACACGGCGUUACUGUCAUGCACAGCCUACGUUACGGGUUGUACAGGCACUUUGAUCGGCCUCUCCCUCCCUGACAUCCAGUGUUUGCUGGGCAUCGACCUGAAAGUAGCCAGUUCCCUGCUGUUUGCCUAUGGUUUAGGCAUGUGUUGCAGUAGCGUCACGGGACACUUCAU
Long non-coding RNA from Haliotis rufescens (red abalone), 281 nucleotides. RefSeq lists it as uncharacterized. NCBI's taxonomy places the organism in Eukaryota, Metazoa, Mollusca, Gastropoda, Lepetellida, Haliotidae. The record is from RefSeq and is a predicted model, not a curated record. The transcript is spliced from 3 exons.